RNAcentral lists this ribosomal RNA (394 nucleotides) under uncultured bacterium. RNAcentral's name for it is "partial 16S ribosomal RNA". It matches the Rfam family "Bacterial small subunit ribosomal RNA", at positions 523 to 918 of the family's 1533-position model. The record is from RNAcentral.
AUACGGAGGAUGCGAGCGUUAUCCGGAUUUAUUGGGUUUAAAGGGUGCGUAGGUGGUAGAUUAAGUCAGCGGUGAAAGUUUGUCGCUCAACGAUAAAAUUGCCGUUGAUACUGGUUUACUUGAGUAUAGUUGAAGUAGGCGGAAUGCGUGGUGUAGCGGUGAAAUGCAUAGAUAUCACGCAGAACUCCGAUUGCGAAGGCAGCUUACUAAGUUAUAACUGACACUGAAGCACGAAAGCGUGGGUAUCAAACAGGAUUAGAUACCCUGGUAGUCCACGCAGUAAACGAUGAUUACUAGCUGUUUGCGAUAUACAGUAAGUGGCACAGCGAAAGCGUUAAGUAAUCCACCUGGGGAGUACGCCGGCAACGGUGAAACUCAAAGGGAAUUGACGGGG